GACAGAUAGAGAAUCCACAUUAACAAAACCAGUAAGGAGAAGGGAGGCUCAGCAACUGACACUGAGGGACUUCAUAGAAUCAGUAGAUUUUACUUCAAAAACUUCUACUCCACGAAAUUGGAAAAUCUGAACGAAAUGGAACCUUUUCUAGAUAGAUACCACUUACCAAAGUUAAAUCAAGUUCAGGUAAACCAUUUGAACAGCCCCACAACCCUUGAAGAAGAAGUAGCAGUCAUUAAAAUCUCCCAACCAAAAAGGCACAGGGCCAGAUGGUUUUGUUAGAGAAUUCUACCAGAUUUUCUAAGGAAAGCUAAUUUCAAUACUCCUCAAAUUAUUCCAUAAAAUAAAAGCUGAAGGAACACUGCCAAACUCAUUCAGAGAGGGCACAGUGACCGUGAUGUCUAAACUACACUAAGCCGCCACAAAGAAAGAGAACGUCAGACCAAUUCCUCUCAUGAACGUUGAUACCAAAAUACUCAAUAAAGUCCUCACAGACUGAAUCCAGGAACAUAUCAAAAAAUCAUCAGGAUGAAGGAAGCUUCAUCCCAUGCAUGCAUCGAUGAUUCCUUAUAUGAAAAUUCAUCAACACAGCCCAUGAUAAAGACAAACUGAGAGUAAACAUAUCACGUGGUUAUCUCAUUAGAUGCUAAAAAGAGCUUUGAUAAAAACCCAACACCCCUUCAUGGUAAAAAUAUUAGAGAAAUCAGGGAUACAGGGCACAUAUGUAAACACAAUCAAAACAAUAUACAACAAGCCAAUAGCCAACAUCAAACUAAAGGGAGAGAAACUGUCAGAAACCACCCAGGGAGAGUGCAUCAGUAGGGGCCAAGGCUUGGAUUUUAGGUGGAGAAUGGAUUUGGCUUGACAGGCAGACACAAAUCUGAGAUAUGUGUUGUUGUAAAAAGUUUUAUUUUUUUGGCACAGACUUAUAUGGUCAAAACAGGAAUAUCAUACUUGGCGAUAUUUAUUACCCCAUCAGAUGUCUCUUGUACAAAGGAAACUGAGCAUACAGUCUAGGAGUUUUUAGUCGCAGAUAAUAGUGUAGAAGACUGUGGUUAUAAUGUCGGACUUGUGGGCAUCAGAUGUACAUUCAAUACUUACCUUUGUUUGGAUAAAGUUUAAACUUUAUGUUUAUGGCCCCUCAGGAUAAUUUGGAAACUUUUGUAACCAUUUCAUGGUUUUCUUCAUUUCCUAUGGUCUUCUAAAAAGAUUAGACCACCUUCUCUUAGACAAAGCAAUCGUUCUAUACACAGCCUAUUGAUUCUCAAGCCUCUCUUCUUGUGAGAGCGCCCACCACAGAGGUCAAGUCCUCCUAAGUCUUUCCCAGUAACCAAGCUCAAUAUACUUUGUCUUCUUACUGUUUACCACUACUCACCUUGUCAAAUCUAUGUCAUAAGUCCCCAUCCGUGGGAAUGGUGCAUCUGUAGGUUUAUAAUAAUAAGGAUCUCUAUAUCUAGGGGCCUGCCACCAUUGUCCACUAAUUUUAAUAAACAAGACUCCAUUCUCCAGUUUAGUCUCUAACCCUAAUUUUUGUAAUUACUUUUUGUUCAAUGAUAGUUCUUCUUUUUCUUUUAGUUAAUUCUUGAUAACUUUGCUCAACUCGCUGAACCUGUCUUUCCAAAAAAGUCACUACUAUUCUGAAUCAUGCUAAACAAAACUUUUCCCAAAAAGGGGGAAAAGACUUUUUGGAACAGUCAUGCUCUUAAUAGCUUUAAUUAACUUCUCUCCUAUUUAUUGAGAACUAAUGGGUGCAGCAGUUGAUGGUGUGAGAUGUUUCCGUCUCUGGACUUGUAGUUCCUGGAACAUCUAAAGAUACAUGACCAUCUUUCCACACUGCUAUAUUCUUAGAUUUAGAUAUUGUUGACAGGCUUAAAGUUGUUGAGAUCACCAAGGCCAGAACAUAGAAGGUACCUCCACUGAAAGCAUAGACCCAGGUCAUCAUCUUUUUGUAGGGAGACUCCAGGACCUCCAGGAGGCCGAGCCAUUCCAGGCACAGGCCUCUGUUCUGGACAGAAACGAAACACUAAGAACUUCAUGUCACAAGACUCCACUGGAGUGGGUGUGGCAAGAAAUUUAAACCAUUUCCAUUAAAAUCAGGGAGGAGACAAGGCUGCCCACUCUGUCCCUAUCUCUUCAAUGAUAUAAUAGAGCUUCUACACAGAACAAUAACACAACUAAAAGAGAUCAAGAGGACACACAUAAAAGGAAGAAGUCAAAGCAUUGCUAUUUGUGGAUGACCCCCAAAAUUUGUAGAACUCCUACAGCUGAUAACAACUUAAGGAAAGUGUCUAGAUUCAAAAUUAACAAAAAACAAACAAACAAACAAACAAAAACCCAAAAGACCAGAAGCCCUCAUGAGAAAUAGGCCAAUGAAGAAAUUAGAGAAAUGUCACACUUUAAAAUAACCAGGAAUAAUAUAAAAUAUCUUGGUGUAAUUCUAAGCAACCAAGUAAAAGAUCUGUAUGACAAGAACCUCAAGUCCCAGAAGAAAGAACUUGAACACGAUAUCUGAAGAUGCAGAGAUCUCCCAUGCUCAUGGAGAUAUAGGAUUCACAUAGUGAAACUGGCCAUCUUACCAAAAGCAAUCUACACAUUCCAUGCAAUCCCCAUCAAAAUUCCAACAAAAUUCUUAUAGAACCUGAAAGAGCAAUUCUCAACUUCAUUUGGAAAAACAAAAAACCCAGGAUAGUCAAAAGAAUCCUGAACAAUAAAAGAAUUUUGGGAGGAAUCACCAUCCCUGACCUCAAUCUGUGCUACUGGGUAAUAGAGAUAAAACCCCACAGGGUAUAAGAAUUAAAGAACCAGAAAUAAACCACACAUCUAUGGACAUUGGGUAUUGAUAAAAAAGCCAAAACCAUUCAAUGGAAAACAAUCAAAGCAUCUACAAAAAAUGGUGUUGGCUAACUGGAUGUCCACCUGUAGAUGAAUGAAAAUAGAUCCAUAUUUGUUAUCCUGCACACAACUAUAGUCCAAGGACCUCAAUAUAAAAUUGGAUGCACUAAGUCUCAUAGAAGAGAUAGUGGGAAAUACCCUUGAAAGCAUUGCUACAGGAGACAAGUUCCUGAAUGGAAUACCAAGGACUCAGAAUCCAAGAUCAACAAUUGAUAAAUGGGACUUCAUGAAACUGAAAAGCUUUGUAAGGCAAAGGACACUGUCAAUAGAACAAAUCGGUAGCCCACAGAUUAGGAAAGGAUCUUCAACACUCUUCAUCUGACAGAGGGCUAACGUCAAAAAUGGAGAAGUAACAUAAGAAGUUAGACUCCAGCAACCCAAGUAAUUGAACAAAAAAUGUGGUACAGAACUAAACCGACAGUUAUCAACAGAGGAAUCUCCAAUGGUCCAGGUGAGCCUGGGAUGCAGGCACCCGUGGUCUCCACGUCCGGAUACAGCUUGUAAGAUUGAUUUCUGUGUUUCUCCAACUGACUCAAGUGGACAAAGUACCAGGAUUUUCCUGCCUUAGGCAAUCUCCGUACCGCUCAUCCUUACUGUAUCCUUCUUGUCUAACGACGGUUCCAGUCAUCCUGGAUGUGAAGAUGAAUCAGCUGGUCAUCUCCUGCUUCUGUGUAAGCGCGCAUCCAGAGGCUCAGCGUUUCUGGUCCUGGGUGGUGGGAAGUGCUUCAGCAGAGCCAGGGCAGAGACUUCUGGGCAGAGUGGAUUUGUGUGUGAAAAUAGACUUCUGAGUCUCUUGGGCUGAAUGUUUGGAAUGUACUGAGGUCUUUUAGCCUAGGCCUUAGCCUGUACACUUCUCCUACCAGAGCCCUGAUCUACAGUGCAGACUCUUCUUGGUGCUUCAAGGUCCACACAGUACCAGUUGGUCUGCAGAUCUUUUUCCGGCUAAUGGCUUCAAUAUGUCCUCUGUCGUGGCAAAGUUUGGGUUUGGUUCUAGGAAUGAUAGAAAUUUUAUUGUCUUCUCUGAGCUUUCUUAGAGAUUUUAGUCCCUGCCACUAUUUGUGUUGGGCUGGGUAAAGAAGAUGUUGUCAAUAGCAAUGAGGGUUCAGCCCUCUCUUCCCCGUGUAAAAUAUUUUUAAGUGCAGAGCUGGCUGGCUGCCAGGCUGUAGUUGGGAAAACUGAAACAAAAAAACCUCUUCAGGAGCCACAAACUAGGCUCUCCCUGGUGUGAGUACAGUUUAUGCCAAAGAACAAAGUUUGUGGUCGGUGAGAUUGAAAGGUGCUUUGAAUGAAUCAGUUAAACUAGCAAAAAGCCCAGACUUCUGCGGUCACAACCUAAAGAAACAGCCUUUGGCCUCUGCCUUCCUAGCUGGUCCCAGGAGAAAUUUCCUACCUGUGCGCCUCUUAGGGAAUCUCACCCCAGGCUUGUGGCAGCCUCUGUCUGGAAAAAUCUAUUCUGGCAGAGCACAGAGCUAGCUCAGCUCCUCCCUUCUUUCCUAGACUCAGCAGAGGAGGACCCUGUUCGCUAUGGUGCCAACAACUGUGAGCAGCAGCCAAGGCAGGGGAGCCUGGGGGUGCGGAUCCUCUCCAGGAGAUCUAACAGAACUGCAAGUCUUCUCCACCAGCAGAUGGCGACUGAUAGACCACGCUAGAACAAGCCUUGCUUCAAGACCGAGGUCUGCGCAUGCUCCUUGAACACCAGGCUGCGGGCUGUUCCAGAUGACAGAAGGGAGGAGCCAAGCUGACAGGAUUGCUGUGUUCUCUGCAAGAAUCAGUUGCCCAAGAUGCAGCUGUCACCUGAUUAUAAAUCUCCUAACACCUGGGGAGCAAGGCACAGGCCAUGGAUGAAGAUUUUCCCGGGUGGGGACACAAACAGGCUGAGCCUCUCCUGUUCUCCCUGGUCUAUCAACCUCACAGGCAGGUAACUGGCUCCACAGCACAAACAGCUUUCAGCAGGGGGAGGUAAAGAGAUAAGGGCGUCUUUCUCAAUUUCUCUGUUUCAGUUUCUCUGUGGUACACAGUUUAGGACAACUGUGCCUGCUUAGCGGCUUGGUGCGCUGGGGCAAGACCUUCUGCAGCCAGCUGGCUCUGCAUUUUAAAAGUCUCCCAGGCACUUAAAUCAGCCAAUCCUGGUUUGGCAACCACCACCCACCCUCCAAAAAUCACAAGCACGCUGGGGUUGGGGUGGGGAACAGUAUAAAUGUGUCAUUCCUAAAAACAGAAAGUAAAUGUUCCCACAGAAGAGGAAAUGGAGAGUCUGUCAGCAGCCAGGAAAAGGAAACCUAAGGCAGAUCAUGGCUGAGCAGAUGUAGAAGAGCCUAGACAAUUCAGUCACUGCAGGGUGAGGGCUGCUGGAUCACUGGGGAAGGUACUGGUCUGGCUUCUGAGUACUUGGGACAGGGCUCCCUGAGGAUGACCUCGUGCUGGUCCUGAUUGGACCUGGAUUUCCAGAGGACUGGAGUUCAUCUGCAUCCUGUCGGCCACAGACAGGGAGUGGCUAAAAACACACAGACAAGCCCAGACACCACUGAGCUGCCUCCCUUCUAGCUGUGCUGGCCCUGGUCACCCUGACACCUUAAAACUGCCUGCAUUGAGCAAAGGGAAUUUCCCCUGCUGGCUCAGAAAUCUUGCAGAAACCUGGAGGCCCGGCUAAAGAGGAACUGGUGGCCAUUUACUGACAGAAAUCUGCCCCACCCAGAAGCAGCUGAUCUUGUUCUGAGACCAUAGCAGCGAGGAGCCUUUGAUCUCCAUCCUGGAUGAAUGUUAAUUCCAGAUAGAAGCCAUCCUUAGAUGGGAUGGGUGGUGGGUGUGUGGACGGCAGAUACAGAAAGGGGAUGACAGGAAGACCAACAGCAAUCCAGGCAGCAAAACCUUGUAGUUGUCUGUAUGAGUCAGGACUACACAUAACGGGGCAAUCACACUCCGGGAUGCGUCCAGACCUGGAGACAUGUGGAACCCUCUGGUCAGGUUAUGGCUAUCCCUGCUCACCAAGUCUGGCAACUCAACAUCCAGCAGUGCCCUUGCACUAGUUAAGAAAAAGCAACUGAAUUUGCAAAAGGGAGCUGCAAUGUUGGCUGAAUGUAAGCAGCAGCAGAAUCAAUCCCAUCACUGCCAAGACACAGUUGCUGAUGCAGGAUUCUGAACUUCAGAGGAAACAAAGUAAUUCUCCCUGUGGAGACAUUGAACCUGAGAUCAAAGAAGCUUUGAGGAGAGAAAGAGGCUGAGAGCAGAACUGCACCAGGCCAUUCAGAAAGGGUAUCUUGAAGAGAACUCCUGGAGUUUGGUUGUAAAGCAAGGCGUGGAACCAGAAAUAACCUGAGAACUUGCUGGUGUUGCAGUCUUCCAAGAGCUGCAAGAAAUAUCCGGGUACCCAGAGGUGGUAGUGAAACUACAGCACCUCGAACACAUGCACCCUGAUUGUAAUUGAUAGCUAUAAGCAUGGAAGAUUUGUCAUUCUUUAUAAAUAUGUUGUUUCAUUCA
Non-coding RNA from Rattus norvegicus (Norway rat), 6369 nucleotides. Lineage: Eukaryota; Metazoa; Chordata; Mammalia; Rodentia; Muridae. The record is from RefSeq and is a predicted model, not a curated record.